Molecule: small nucleolar RNA, 219 nt
Filed under: Sarcophilus harrisii (Tasmanian devil)
Lineage: Eukaryota; Metazoa; Chordata; Mammalia; Dasyuromorphia; Dasyuridae
Description: Small nucleolar RNA U3 (ENSSHAG00000024470.1)
Rfam family: Small nucleolar RNA U3
About the family: Small nucleolar RNAs (snoRNAs) are involved in the processing and modification of rRNA in the nucleolus. There are two main classes of snoRNAs: the box C/D class, and the box H/ACA class.
Source: Rfam by way of RNAcentral
AAGACUAUACUUUCGGGGAUCAUUUCUAUAGUAUGUGACUAGAGAAUUGUGGCUGAGGUAUAGCACAGAGGCUUUCACGAGGAGGAGCUGGAGUGGUGUUUUUCUUCUGAGCGUGAAGCCGGCUUGUGGUGCUGCUUCUCAGCAGCUGUCACUUGCCAUUGAUGAUCGUUCUUCCCUCCCUUCGAGUUUGGGUGAGAGGAAGGAACGCAGGCUGGUGGC